Molecule: transfer RNA, 73 nt
Filed under: Haloechinothrix alba
Lineage: Bacteria; Bacillati; Actinomycetota; Actinomycetes; Pseudonocardiales; Pseudonocardiaceae
Also listed under: 1 other name
Description: Pseudonocardineae bacterium YIM 93221 tRNA
Rfam family: tRNA
About the family: Transfer RNA (tRNA) molecules are approximately 80 nucleotides in length.
Source: Rfam by way of RNAcentral
GCGCCAUUAGCUCAAGCGGUAGAGCAGCUGGCUCUUAACCAGCGGGUUCGGGGUUCGAGUCCCUGGUGGCGCA